Ruditapes philippinarum (Manila clam) is the source of this 2002-nucleotide long non-coding RNA. RefSeq lists it as uncharacterized. The record is from RefSeq and is a predicted model, not a curated record. The transcript is spliced from 2 exons. Lineage: Eukaryota; Metazoa; Mollusca; Bivalvia; Venerida; Veneridae.
CUCAUGUUGGGUCACAUGUAGCUCUAAAAUGUGCUUAAGCUUGUCAACAAAAUUUACAGGAAUGUUGAUCAGCAUGUAAAGUUGUACACCUGGUCCCGUGUUCACUAAGAAAAGAUCAGGAUCAAGUGAUCCUGAUUUUAUUUUCAUUAUUAUCCCCCGCCGCCUUUUCGGUAUAGUAAUAGUCUCCGUCUGUCCGUCUGACCCGUCCUUCCGUCCGACAUUUUUGUCCGGAGCAUAUCUCUAAAAGUAUUUUAGUUUUCAACUUGAAACUUCAUAGGUGGAUAGACCUCAUUGAGGAGGAGUGCAGUGCACAAGAAUGAUAACUCUACCCUGCAUAAUUUUUGAGUUAUUGCCCUUUGUUAUUUUUCAAAAUUGAUUUUUGUCCAGAGCAUAACUCAAAAAGCCUAUGAGAUAUCAACAUGAAACUUCAUAGGUGCAUAGAUCUCACUCAGGAGGUGUGCAGUGCACAAGAAUGAUAACUCUACCUUUCAUAAUUUUUGAGUUAUUGCCCUUUGUUAUUUUUCAUACUUAAUUUUUCACCUGAGUGGAGCAUAACUCAAAAAGUGUUUGAGAUGUCAACAUGAAAUGUCAUAGGUGGAUAGAUCUUAUUGAGGAGGAAUGCUGUGCACAAGAAUGAUAACUCUUCCCUAUACAAUUUUUUAGUUAUUGCCCUUUGUUCUUUUUCAUACUAUUUUGUCCGGAGCUUAUCUCAAAAAGUAUUUGAGGUAUCAACUUGAAACUUCAUAGGUGGAUAGAUUUUACUGAGGAGGGAUGCAGCACACAAGAAUGAUAACCUACCCUGCAUUAUUUUUCAGUUAUUGCCCUUUGUUAUUUUCAGCCAUCAGUAUUCACAUAGGUUUCAAAUCUGUACAUGUAAUCACUAUAGCCAUCAGUUUUCAUUACCAAAAGACCUCUUAAAAUGGAAUUAUUCUGCUCUACUACAUAUACAUUCUUCCAAUGAGCAAACACAUUUGGCAGGGGAUGGCCAUGUUGACAUGGCUCUUGUUUUAUGUUACUAUUUAAUUAAUAGUGUUUUGCUAGAAUUGAAUGGUAAAUAUGCAAAAUGUAAAAAAUUGUUGAUUUGCAAAGAAGGAACAACUUUUUUGGGAUAAAAUCGACAAAUUACAAAACAAAUACAUAAAUAUACGGAUCAAAAUAAGGAUCAAUUUUAGGAUCAGGAUUAAUAUUUGGAUCAACUGUAAAAUGCCCGUAUCUUGCAAAAAUAACAACAAAUUUAUUCUAAAAUUUCAUAAACUUGCUAUUGCAAGUCCAGUUUUAUCAAAUUAAGAUUAGAUAUUUAAUCUAUGUGGAUAAACAAUGAAGAAUAUUAGAGUUUUUAAAUUUGAUCCUGAUCUUGAUCCUUAAUUUUUUGUGAACACAGGCCCUGGGGUUUUAUUUGUGGAUUAAUUUAGUUUUGUCAGAGUUAUUGUCCUUGAGUUACUGUUAUUAUACCCCCAAAAACGAAGUUUGGGGGGGUAUAUAGGAGUCACCCGGUGGUCGGUUAGGCGGUCGGUUGGUCAGUCGGUCAGUCCAGCGGUCCGUUGCAUUUUCCUUGUCCGGAGCAUAACUUGAAGACUAAUGGUUGGAAUUCAAUAUAACUUCAUACAAUGGUCAAGCACAUUGAGAGGAAGUGGAGUGCACAAGAACCAUAACUCCAUCUUGACUAAUUACAGAGUUAUUGCCCUUUGUUACUUUUCCUUGUCGGGAUCAUAACUUGAAAACUACUGGUUGAAACUCGAAACAACUUCAUACAAUUGUCAAGCACAAUAAGGGGAAGUGCAGUGCACAAGAACCAUAACUCUAUCUAAAGUAAUUACAGAGUUAUUGCCCUUUGUUAUUUUUCCAUUGCUUUCUUUUGUCCGGACUAUAACUUGAAGACUAAUGGUUGGAAUUGAAUAUAACUUCAUACAAUGGUCAAGCACAUUGAGAGGAAGUGCAGUGCACAAGAACCAUAACUCCAUUUGACUAAUUACAGAGUAACUGCCCUUUGUUACUUUUCCUU